Molecule: ribosomal RNA, 253 nt
Filed under: uncultured prokaryote
Description: partial 16S ribosomal RNA
Rfam family: Bacterial small subunit ribosomal RNA
Source: RNAcentral
ACGAAGGGUCCAAGCGUUAUCCGGAUUCAUUGGGUUUAAAGGGUGCGCAGGCGGGGCCUUAAGUCAGUGGUGAAAUCUCUUCGCUCAACGAGGAAACUGCCAUUGAUACUGAGGUUCUUGAAUACCGUGGAGGUCAGCGGAAUAUGUCAUGUAGCGGUGAAAUGCUUAGAUAUGACAUAGAACACCAAUUGCGAAGGCAGCUGGCUACACGAAUAUUGACACUCAGGCACGAAAGCGUGGGGAUCAAACAGGA